CCUACGGGAGGCAGCAGUGAGGAAUAUUGGUCAAUGGCCGGAAGUCUGAACCAGCCAAGUAGCGUGAGGGAUGACGGCGCAGUGCGUCGUAAACCUCUUUUAUCAGGGGAUAAAACGCGGCACGCGUCCGUUUUUGAGUGUACUCUAUGAAAAAGCAUCGGCUAACUCCGUGCCAGCAGCCGCGGUAAUACGGAGGAUUCGAGCGUUAUCCGGAUUUAUUGGGUUUAAAGGGGGCGUAGACGGGUUGUUAAGGCAGGUGUGAAAGUUUGCGGCUCAACCGUAAAAUUGCAUUGGAUACUGGGAGUCUUGAGUACAGUUGAGGUAUGCGGAAUGCGUGGUGUAGCGGUGAAAUGCUUAGAUAUCACGAAGAACCCCGAUUGCGAAGGCAGCGUACUAAGCUGUGACUGACACUGAUGCACGAAAGUGUGGGGAUCAAACAGGAUUAGAUACCCUUGUAGUC
RNAcentral lists this ribosomal RNA (460 nucleotides) under uncultured bacterium. RNAcentral's name for it is "partial 16S ribosomal RNA". It matches the Rfam family "Bacterial small subunit ribosomal RNA", at positions 338 to 795 of the family's 1533-position model. The record is from RNAcentral.